UAUAUCCUCAACCUUCUUGGAUUCAGAAAAUGUUUGAAUGUGAAUGGGAGAGGAGAGUAGAAAUGGAAAGGAACAAGAAGAUUCCAGAGGAGUGACGUAACGAAACAUUCUCAGUCCACAAAUGACUGCAAAGCAGAUAACCAGAGUCCUGAUGAUUAACUGCUGUCAGUGGAACUGCCUGUUUUUCCUCAAGUGGAUCUUUCCUUCUAUGCAAAAGCAGUUGAAGUGGGUGUCUGUACGCUACGUCCUAGCC
Long non-coding RNA from Cercocebus atys (sooty mangabey), 253 nucleotides. RefSeq lists it as uncharacterized. The record is from RefSeq and is a predicted model, not a curated record. Lineage: Eukaryota; Metazoa; Chordata; Mammalia; Primates; Cercopithecidae. The transcript has 3 exons.